UAGAUGUCUAGACUCCCCCUAUGUAUUGACUCAGUUCUUUGGAGGAACUUUGGUGAGGCCAGUUUGAAAAGCCCUGGACUAAGGAAGAGCUUUAAGAGCUAGUUUCCACUAGCGUAGACAGCACAGAAUUGGGAAGGAUGAUGUCCUGUCUUUGGUUCAGAGAUGUCAGACCAGUUUCCUUGUGCAUCCCCAGGAACUGCACUUCCUUUACCCAUCAAAUCCUUUAAGGAUCCUUUGGUCUCAGCCUGAAUUAUGGGAUUCUGCUUUGACCCUCAAGAGUAAUGUCCAAGUCCUGUGUCACUGUUUAGAAGUUUAA
This 316-nucleotide long non-coding RNA is filed under the name Lynx canadensis (Canada lynx). RNAcentral's name for it is "lncRNA (ENSLCNG00005016484.1)". The record is from RNAcentral. Lineage: Eukaryota; Metazoa; Chordata; Mammalia; Carnivora; Felidae.